This 822-nucleotide ribosomal RNA is filed under the name uncultured bacterium. RNAcentral describes it as "SSU rRNA". It matches the Rfam family "Bacterial small subunit ribosomal RNA", at positions 68 to 887 of the family's 1533-position model. The record is from RNAcentral.
GGCAGCACAGGUAGCAAUACUGGGUGGCGAGUGGCGCACGNGGUGCGUAACACGUAUGCAACUUACCCUUUACCGAGACAUAACCCAUCGAAAGGUGAGCUAAUAUCUCAUAACAUUCACUAGAGGCAUCUCUUAUGAAUUAAAGUUUUAAUGGUAUAGGAUAGGCAUGCGUCCCAUUAGCUAGUUGGUAAGGUAACGGCUUACCAAGGCGACGAUGGGUAGGGGUUCUGAGAGGAAAGUCCCCCACACUGGUACUGAGACACGGACCAGACUCCUACGGGAGGCAGCAGUAAGGAAUAUUGGUCAAUGGGCGAGAGCCUGAACCAGCCAUGCCGCGUGAAGGAAGAAGGCCUUAUGGGUCGUAAACUUCUUUUAUAAGGGAAAAAACGCCGGUACGUGUACCGGCUUGCUUGUACCUUAUGAAUAAGCAUCGGCUAACUCCGUGCCAGCAGCCGCGGUAAUACGGAGGAUGCGAGCGUUAUCCGGAUUCAUUGGGUUUAAAGGGUGCGCAGGCGGACUAAUAAGUCAGUGGUGAAAUCCCAUAGCUCAACUAUGGAACUGCCAUUGAUACUGUUAGACUAGAGUAUAGAUGACGUAGGCGGAAUGCGACAUGUAGCGGUGAAAUGCUUAGAGAUGUCGCAGAACACCGAUUGCGAAGGCAGCUUACGAAACUAUAACUGACGCUCAUGCACGAAAGCGUGGGGAUCAAACAGGAUUAGAUACCCUGGUAGUCCACGCCCUAAACGAUGAUUACUCGUUGUUGGCCUGUACAGGUCAGUGGCUAAAGGAAACGAUAAGUAAUCCACCUGGGGGAGUACGAUC